This 253-nucleotide ribosomal RNA is filed under the name uncultured bacterium. Its description in RNAcentral is "partial 16S ribosomal RNA". It matches the Rfam family "Bacterial small subunit ribosomal RNA", at positions 524 to 776 of the family's 1533-position model. The record is from RNAcentral.
UACGAAGGGGGCUAGCGUUGUUCGGAAUCACUGGGCGUAAAGGGCGCGUAGGCGGCUUUGUAAGUCGGGGGUGUAAGCCUGUGGCUCAACCACAGAAUUGCCUUCGAUACUGCAUGGCUUGAGACCGGAAGAGGUAAGUGGAACUGCGAGUGUAGAGGUGAAAUUCGUAGAUAUUCGCAAGAACACCAGUGGCGAAGGCGGCUUACUGGUCCGGUUCUGACGCUGAGGCGCGAAAGCGUGGGGAGCAAACAGG